This is a non-coding RNA of Podarcis lilfordi (Lilford's wall lizard), 4928 nucleotides long. NCBI's taxonomy places the organism in Eukaryota, Metazoa, Chordata, Lepidosauria, Squamata, Lacertidae. The record is from the annotation of a GenBank genome assembly.
AAGUGAUUAACAUUACGGUACAUGCAAGUUAAUAUAUAGAUACCAGACAAGUCACUUUAUAAUCUUUGAAAAAUCAUCUCGCUUCCUUGGCCUUAGAUGCAGAGAAUUGUUUACAGCAAUUUAGUUAACAUUGAACAGUGUACCGAGGCAGACAGCUUUUGACUUAAAAUCUGAUUAAAAACACCUUAUUCAGUCAGUGAUUAAUUGAGUAAUGUCUCUCACUCUAAUCUAAAUGUUUUAUAACUACAAUUCUGGUCUUCCAGGAAAAGGAGCAGUAGAUAGACUUGGCAAAAUGCAUAGCUGCAUUUAACAUUUUGUUCUGUCAUUCUGAGAAAACCAGCAAAGUGGGUUCUGACAGUUGAUGAGCAAAAGGGACUUUGCUAGGGAGCAGUUCUAUUAAAAGUGCAUCUAAGUGACUUGCCUGAAUGACAUCACUGGAAUGGCAAGUGAUGUUGUUUUAUAUUUGAGACUAUACCACCAGUUUACUGCAGCCGACCAGUCUAUGGCAGUGGCAAGUACUCUGACACUGCAAUCUUAUGAACGUCUACUCAGGAGUAAGCUCCACUCAGUUUAAUGGAAUAGGGCAUAGUCCCAGCUGAGUGAGUAAGCUGAUUUCAGAUAGAGUAAAACUCAUUCCCUUCAUUCUUGAUUUCAAAACUGCACAAAAUAAAGUGUGAAAAAGCCACAGUAAGAAUGUGGUUUACUUUGGGUGGGAAACUGAUAUAUUUCCCCAUUCAGAAGGAAGCCUGCAUUUUUCUACCUGCUAAUGGAUUAUGAACCAGUGAAAAAAACACAAAAAAGAUGCUCAGAUGUAAUUACUGUACAUUUUAUACAAGUCCUGAAAGCAUCCGUUAGAAGCAGAGAUCGUACAUUUUCAGCCCAUCAACCUAGUGGUCUGUUAGCAUCAGCUCAGAGCUUUCUGAGUUGGCAAGCAGAUGGUAUCUUUUGCAUUCCUCCAGCGUGCUAGCACUGCCAGUUGGAUGUUUGAAAGGCUCAUUAAUUUUACUCACUGUUUGGCAGUAAGACCUUGCUUGUUCUUCUCUCUGUUCCUGUUUUCUGAAACCUGGAUAGUUGUGGUUUUGUAUGUUUGUUUUCCCCCAGUUGUAGUUUAUUUGUUGCUUUGAUAUAACAUAGCAUUAUUGGUUUUGCCGGGAAGCCAGAAUGGAAAGUGGGGCUGAGCAAAGAGACAGUGGUUUGCAUUCACUAGAUUCAGAGUUAUUCAACCUGCACAGUGGGGGGAAAAAACAAGAGUUAAAUAUGGUGUGGGUGCAUUUUACCUUUCGCUACAGGUGAAUGGCUUAUUCAAUGGCUGUGGGAUAUGACACUUUUCUGAAGUGGAAAUGCUGGAAUGAAAUAUGUGGAAAUAAUGGAAAGGCAUUGUUAUUGGUUGGAUUGCCAAGCAUAUAGAACAUGUCUUGCUGCAGCAGAACCAGCAGAACUUUUGCAAGAAUAAGUCCUGUCCCGCUAACCUAUUAAGGAUUAUUUGAGUCAGCCCACUAUGUACUUGAGUAAACUUAACAGUCAUGGAAUAAAAGCAGAGGUCCUCUUAUGGAUCAGUAACUGGUUAAGGAAUAGGAAGUAGAGAGUAGUGAUAGCUGGGCAUUGUGAGGAAGCUCAAAAAGCCUCUCCAAACAGAAUGAAUGAGCAGUAAAAAUGGCAAAUACAAUUCAGUGUAAACAAGAGUAAAAUGAUGUACAUUGAGGCAAAAAAAUAAUAAUCCGAAUUUCACACAUAUGAUAUGGUACAGUCCACUCAGCCUUCUCAAGGUUCUAACAUUUUGCAGUGUGUUUAGACGAGGCAUGUACUUGGAUUUACUUAAUGUUCUUCUUGCAUAUGUGUAUAACAAAGCCCAUGCUUUAAGAUACUUGCAAAUAUUAUUUUUCGUACAUUUGCAUCCCUUACUUCCUCGGUUAUGGAGCCCAAUGAGGUGUACGCUAUGCCCAGAGGUCACCCAUCCAGACACAUGGUGGUAGUCAGCAAUUAUCACUCAGAGUAGACCCACAGAAACUAAUGGAGCUAAGUUAAUAAUGUCCAUUGACUUCGAUGGGUUUGCUCUGAAUACCACUCAUGAACUGGACUCAGGCUUCCUUAGUUUCAGCAAAGUGAUAUCCUCAUAUGCCUUCAGACCAUAUACUGGGAAACACCACUGAAGGAUUGUUGUUUGCCUACCUAUUUAACUGCUAAGAUAUGCAUUUGGAAAAAUUGCAGAAGUCUUGUUCGCCACCUCAGCAGUUCAACAGAUGAUAAAUCACACUCCUGGUGGGUUAUUUUUUAAUAGUUUAAGAUAGUUUUUAAAGGUUUUUUUUGUGCAAGGCAAGGUUGGAAUGUGCACUAAUAAAUGCGUGCAUAAAUCUUCCCCACAUUAUAGUUUUACUUUGGGAGCAGUUCUUUAAGUAAAUAUGUUAGCCUUGGACACAGCCCUAAGGCUACUAUUGAUUCAGUUGUACAGUCCAGCACUUAUAAAAAUGGAACUUCUGCCAAUGUGUUGAGUAUGAAAGGAGGGCACUGUGUGUUGAAAGAACAGCGGUUCUUUGUUUCACUGACCUAAAGUUGACUGGAUAAAACUUACUUCACAUGUUGAGGCAGAAUCGCUUUCACAGAAUCUACAAAGAAGCUGGGAAGGCAUUUAUCUUAGCUUAAUUUUCUUGAGGGCACAGAGUAGGAGUCCAGGUGAAAAUGGGGCUCAUCCUUCUCUCUUUAAAGUAGGAUCGUGAGCACAAUCACUUCUGAUCAAAGAAGUGCCUGUUGAAGAAAUUGACUAUGCUUCUUGCAUUAACACAGUUUUAUGGUGGCUGUCAGCUCCUACCUUUUGUCAGUGCAACUUCAUUCACUCCUCUAUCUCUCUUUCUCUCUUUCUUUCCCUCUUCUCUCUCUCUCUUUUAAUGUGUCUCACAAAUCAAGGUGAGAUGGCUGAACAAUUUUGUCAUGUCCUUUGCUCAGACUUAAAAGAACGCUGUCAGCUAUCAGUGAAAGGAAAUUGGGUGGUUCUGGAGUUUUUGCGGACCACUUGUGCCCUGAUUGCAUAACGAGAGCAUUGCUCAUUAUCUUGAGCAGAGUUGGUGUGACCAAUGUCCCCAAGGCUGUUUCCUCAGGCUAUUAGCUAGUGAUACCCAGAACAUUGCCACUUUCACAAAAAACAAAAUGAAAUCAGGUGUGAUAAGCUUUUAGAGGCAAGGUGCCGCUAUUUGUAAGACUAGAUAUACAGUAUACUUGGCUAAAUUUUGUGAGGCCAUCAUAGGGCACCCCUGAAUUUCCCAUUUCCGUAAUGUUUUAGAAGGAAGCUGUGUUAGUACUAUUUGAUCUUCUCAGCCACCAUCCUCAUACUGGGCUGGUGUUGCUGACAUUAUAUCAGGCUGUAGCAGAGGAAUAGUAGAAUCAUAGAAUUGUAGUGUUAGAAGGGACCACGAGGGUCAUCUAGUCCAAACCCCUUCAGUGCAGAAAUCUUUAGCCCAAGAAGAGGUGUUCUGAAACAUGGUUUGAUUCUUGUUAACUGCGCCUUUUCAGUUCUGUGUGGGUUAGCAGCUAGGCUUACGAGGAAUAAUUUUCAUCAGCUAGAAUUGGGGUCCUGAGAUGUUCAUCUAAGGUUCUGAAGGCCAAGAUGGACCUGGAUGAUGAAUGCAAAACAGGUGGGUAGACUACUUUGAUGCCGAGUCAGUGCACUUAAUUUGGUUCUGUGCUGCUGGGUUUUGUUGCUUUUUCGUGAGCUUCUGUGCCUGCUUCUUGAGGGUUCAGAACAUUUCAAUUAAAGAUGUUCAGCUAAACGUUUUGUGGUUUGCAGAGUAAUAGGAACAUUAACAGUAAUUGGAACAUUAACUUUGCGGUCCAUAUGUAUUCCUCUUCACACCACACUACUCAAUUCUUAAUAUAAUUUACUGUUAUUAAAAGCCAAGCACAUUUGGAAGAUGUCAUUCUGGAAAAUGAAAGAUUACCUUGGUAUCUGGGUUUUUGCUGUCCAUGUCAGCUGAAUAUUUCUCGUGUAGACUUCUCAGGAAACAAUGAGUCCAUCUCUUUACAACCUUCUGCUUCUCUGGCCAGUUGCUUUCCCAGCUAUCUAUAACGCAGUUGACAAAGUAUUUGGAUUUAAGUCUACAGUCAUACCUCAUGUUGCGUCUGCUUCAGGUUGCGUUUUUUCAGGUUGCGGACUGCUGAAAUCCGGAAGUACUGGAACAGGUUACUUCUGGGUUUCGGCAGUCGUGCAUGCGCAGAAGCGCUAAAUCCCACACGGAUCACAUUCGCAACCUGAGCACAGCCUGAAGACUGUAUUUGUCUUCUUCUGCAGCCACCACAUUUCCUGUGGGUGAACUGGUGCUUCAUUGUGGUACACACUUUCAAGAAGGGGCGGGAAACCUCUAUGGCACUGCAGAUGAUGUUGGAAUCCAAUUCUCAUCAGCCCUAGCCAGAACUGUCAAUUGACAUAAAUGUUGGAAGUUGUAGUCCAAUAACAGUUGGACAACAACGGCUUCCCCAUCCCUGACUUAAAUGUACAUAUUCUGUUGGCAUGCACCAGAUUCUGUGGGCAAUAGCUGCCUCCUGACUGUUUGGAGACAUCUCUCUUCUAUUUUACUUAUGAUGUUGAGAACAUACAAAACUGGAACAUGCCUUCCAACCAACACACAAUUUUCAACAUAAUUUGUCACUGGAUCUAGUUUUAGUUGAAACAUUUUCUCAGUGACUUUUAACUUUGUCUUCCUGUAUCUGGCUGCCUUUUUUCUUCUUCACACAUCUACUCCAAAUGGUAAUAUACUCAGCACCUUCCUUCCUCUUCAUUAUAGGCCUUCCACAUUUUCCAAGGUGGUAAGUACCAUUGCAUAGUAAUCUUAAAGCAGUUUCCCCAGUACAGUGGUAUCUUGGUUUACAACCAUAAUCUGUUCCGGAGGUCCGUUUGUAAACCAAAACAGGUUCUAACCCAAGGCGAGCUUUCACCAGUG